AGUUUGAUCAUGGCUCAGGAUGAACGCUGGCGGCAGGCCUAACACAUGCAAGUCGAGCGGUAGAGAGGUGCUUGCACCUCUUGAGAGCGGCGGACGGGUGAGUAAUGCCUAGGAAUCUGCCUGGUAGUGGGGGAUAACGCUCGGAAACGGACGCUAAUACCGCAUACGUCCUACGGGAGAAAGCAGGGGACCUUCGGGCCUUGCGCUAUCAGAUGAGCCUAGGUCGGAUUAGCUAGUUGGUGAGGUAAUGGCUCACCAAGGCGACGAUCCGUAACUGGUCUGAGAGGAUGAUCAGUCACACUGGAACUGAGACACGGUCCAGACUCCUACGGGAGGCAGCAGUGGGGAAUAUUGGACAAUGGGCGAAAGCCUGAUCCAGCCAUGCCGCGUGUGUGAAGAAGGUCUUCGGAUUGUAAAGCACUUUAAGUUGGGAGGAAGGGCAGUAAAUUAAUACUUUGCUGUUUUGACGUUACCGACAGAAUAAGCACCGGCUAACUCUGUGCCAGCAGCCGCGGUAAUACGAAUCACUAGUGAAUUCGCGGCCGCCUGCAGGUCGACCAUAUGGG
RNAcentral lists this ribosomal RNA (566 nucleotides) under uncultured Gammaproteobacteria bacterium. RNAcentral's name for it is "bacterial SSU rRNA". It matches the Rfam family "Bacterial small subunit ribosomal RNA", at positions 10 to 546 of the family's 1533-position model. The record is from RNAcentral. Lineage: Bacteria; Pseudomonadati; Pseudomonadota; Gammaproteobacteria.